GACGAACGCUGGCGGCGUGCUUAACACAUGCAAGUCGAACGGUAAGGCCCUUCGGGGUACACGAGUGGCGAACGGGUGAGUAACACGUGGUGAUCUGCCCUGCACUUUGGGAUAAGCCUGGGAAACUGGGUCUAAUACCGAAUAUGACCAUGGACUUCACGGUUUGUAGUGGAAAGCUUUUGCGGUGUGGGAUGGGCCCGCGGCCUAUCAGCUUGUUGGUGGGGUAAUGGCCUACCAAGGCGACGACGGGUAGCCGGCCUGAGAGGGUGACCGGCCACACUGGGACUGAGAUACGGCCCAGACUCCUACGGGAGGCAGCAGUGGGGAAUAUUGCACAAUGGGCGCAAGCCUGAUGCAGCGACGCCGCGUGGGGG
RNAcentral lists this ribosomal RNA (374 nucleotides) under uncultured bacterium. RNAcentral describes it as "bacterial SSU rRNA". It matches the Rfam family "Bacterial small subunit ribosomal RNA", at positions 28 to 407 of the family's 1533-position model. The record is from RNAcentral.